This 364-nucleotide transfer-messenger RNA is filed under the name Saprospiraceae. RNAcentral's name for it is "JADKBO01 sp016717655 Standard tmRNA". It matches the Rfam family "transfer-messenger RNA". Rfam says of the family: Bacterial tmRNA, also known as 10Sa RNA or SsrA, is named for its dual tRNA and mRNA-like properties. Its role is to liberate the mRNA from a stalled ribosome. To accomplish this part of the tmRNA is used as a reading frame that ends in a translation stop signal. RNAcentral also lists the same sequence under 1 other name. Lineage: Bacteria; Pseudomonadati; Bacteroidota; Saprospiria; Saprospirales. The record is from RNAcentral.
GGGGUUGACUGGUAUCGACAGGGAAUGCCAAUGGUAAGUAAGCAUGUCGGAGCAGGAUUGCUCACUCCGUAACAAAUGGUGAUCGAACAACAACUGGCGAAUCUAACUUCGCAUUGGCUGCGUAAUCUAGGAUUAUAAAGCCUUUAAGCCCCCAGCUUGACGCCUGAUACAUAGCUGGCUGCUUUCAACUCUUCAGGAUAGGUAGGUCAAAUGCCUCUAUGACACUCCGAAGAUCCAGAGGAUCGACAAUUGCGACGCUGCCUGUAUGCUGAGCGAAAGUCUAAACACUGAGUACAGGAUAAACAUGUAGAAAGCUUAUGAUUGUUUCAUCUGGACGGGAGUUCGAAUCUCCCCAGCUCCACCA